This 499-nucleotide ribosomal RNA is filed under the name uncultured bacterium. RNAcentral describes it as "partial 16S ribosomal RNA". It matches the Rfam family "Bacterial small subunit ribosomal RNA", at positions 899 to 1397 of the family's 1533-position model. The record is from RNAcentral.
ACUCAAAUGAAUUGACGGGGACCCGCACAAGCGGUGGAGCAUGUGGUUUAAUUCGAUGCAACGCGAAGAACCUUACCUACCCUUGACAUCCUGCGAAUCUUAUAGAGAUAUAGGAGUGCCGAAAGGAGCGCAGAGACAGGUGCUGCAUGGCUGUCGUCAGCUCGUGUCGUGAGAUGUUGGGUUAAGUCCCGUAACGAGCGCAACCCUUGUCCUUAGUUGCCAGCACGUAAAGGUGGGAACUUUAAGGAGACUGCCGGUGAUAAACCGGAGGAAGGUGGGGAUGAGGUCAAGUCAUCAUGGCCUUUAUGGGUAGGGCUACACACGUGCUACAAUGGUCAGUACAAAGGGAAGCGAACCUGCGAAGGGGAGCGAAGCUCAAAAAACUGAUCUUAGUCCGGAUUGGAGUCUGCAACUCGACUCCAUGAAGCUGGAAUCGCUAGUAAUCGCGGAUCAGAACGCCGCGGUGAAUACGUUCCCGGGUCUUGCACACACCGCCCGU